CAUGCAAGUCGAGCGAGAAGCUAACUUCGGUUAGUGGAAAGCGGCGCACGGGUGAGUAACGCGUGGGAAUUUACCUUUUGGUGGGGGACAACAGUUGGAAACGACUGCUAAUACCGCAUAUACCCUACGGGGGAAAGAUUUAUCGCCAAAAGAUGGGCCCGCGUUAGAUUAGGUAGUUGGUAGGGUCAAAGCCUACCAAGCCUACGAUCUAUAGCUGGUUUGAGAGAACGAUCAGCCACACUGGAACUGAGACACGGUCCAGACUCCUACGGGAGGCAGCAGUGGGGAAUCUUGCACAAUGGGCGAAAGCCUGAUGCAGCCAUGCCGCGUGAGUGAGGAGGCCUUCGGGUUGUAAAACUCUUUUAGAUGUGAAGAUGAUGACGGUAACAUCAGAAAAAGCCCCGGCUAACUUCGUGCCAGCAGCCGCGGUAAUACGAAGGGGGCUAGCGUUGUUCGGAAUUGCUGGGCGUAAAGAGCGUGUAGGCGGCUAGAUAAGUUAGGGGUGAAAUCCCGGAGCUCAACUUCGGAAUUGCCUUUGAUACUGUCUAGCUUGAGAUUGCGAGGGGAUAGCGGAAUACCCAGUGUAGAGGUGAAAUUCGU
Molecule: ribosomal RNA, 600 nt
Filed under: uncultured Alphaproteobacteria bacterium
Lineage: Bacteria; Pseudomonadati; Pseudomonadota; Alphaproteobacteria
Description: bacterial SSU rRNA
Rfam family: Bacterial small subunit ribosomal RNA
Source: RNAcentral